RNAcentral lists this unclassified non-coding RNA (1414 nucleotides) under Leishmania donovani. RNAcentral describes it as "gene:unknown". Lineage: Eukaryota; Euglenozoa; Kinetoplastea; Trypanosomatida; Trypanosomatidae. The record is from RNAcentral.
AGGUGAGCGCCAAUACGCGCACGUACGCGGAAAGGGGAACCGCCCAUGCGCACAUAAAGGUCCUCACUCUCGCAUACGGGCUCGGCCGGCUGCUGAGAGGCAGCGCCGGCAUCCGCGUUGCGGCAAGCCUCCUGCUGUGCUGAUUGCCGGCACGCCUGGAGCGCUGGCGGCGGCGGCGGCGUACAUUUGAUGGUGCCGCCCCCCUCCCCCUUCCUCCCUCCCCUUCCCGGGCAGCGCCGUCACCGGGCCUACGGCACGGCGCGGUUGCCGAGGUGAUGGGCAAUGCGACCUGGCCGCUGGUGGUGGGCACUGACGGAGGGGAGCUCUGUGUGGCACCUGAGCGCAUUGUGUUGCGGGGGCCGCCGAGGAAGCUGCACCACACCGCGAGGCUGCUGGAGCGUGCGAGCUGGCUGCGCUGCUGCGCGCACGGCCCGCGCGCCGUGGAGGCCGUGGCGCUUAUCCCGAUUAGCCGGUGCUGGCGCGGGGGUGGGCGUGAACCACGGACCGCCACCGAGACCCCUCCAAGGCCGCCCGGUGGUGUGAGGGCGUGUGUGUGUGCUCGCGACGGCCGCCCUCGCCGGUGGCUGUGGCGGGUGCAAGAGUGCGCUGUGCCGCAGCGCGGUGCGCGUGGAGGGCGGGCCGCUCGCGCACGUCGGCGUCCGCGGCGCGGAGGGCAGGCUGCGCUGCGUCGUCGAGGCGCUCUGCGUGAAGCGGGGGCGCGAGGUGUGCGGCGACGCUGUGGCGCUGGCGUGUGCGACCGUCGUCUGUGCCAUCUCACCGUGGAGGGGUGCCCAUCGCGUCGCUCAGCAUGGCCGCCGCUGGGGUGCGGCGCCUCGGCCUGCGCAUGAUUGCCGUGCGCCGCCGCGAGCGGGCGUUCGCGUAGACGCAGCACGCCGUGGGCGAGUUGUUUGCCGCGGUGCAUGAAUGCCGCCUCUCGGCGGGAAGGCGCACGGAUGAGAAGCUGCUGAGGUCGGUGCGGCGCUGGGGGCGCACUGCGUUGCACGAUCCCGCACAGGACGUGUGCGUGUUCCACCACAAGCUUUUCCACUCCGCCUCCCGGUGCUGCUGGCCGCAGGCGCGCGGUGAGAUGAGGAGGUGAUGGGGAAGGGCGGGUGGUGGCUCUGCGCGAGCGCGUGGGUGUCGGGUGGAUGGGAGUGUGCACUGAUGUAGGUGCACCCUCGCGUGCUGCGACUGGCACCGCCGCCCUCCUCGCCCCAUGGGGGCGCACACGGGGUCGCUGCUGCUCGCAUCCCCUGCUCUUUGGUGAUGUUCCUUUUUUUUCUUGUGGUGCAGGGCCGCGGCGGUGCGGGGAUGGGCGGUGCUGCAUCCCGCCCGCACAGACACCGAGGCCGCCCCCCGCACCUCCCCCCCUGCACACACGUGCCCAUCGGCCUCGCGCAAGCGCUCCUAGGAC